This 381-nucleotide unclassified non-coding RNA is filed under the name uncultured Penicillium. Its description in RNAcentral is "sequence contains ITS2". The stretch from base 1 to 154 matches the Rfam family "5.8S ribosomal RNA". Lineage: Eukaryota; Fungi; Ascomycota; Eurotiomycetes; Eurotiales; Aspergillaceae. The record is from RNAcentral.
AACUUUCAGCAAUGGAUCUCUUGGUUCCGGCAUCGAUGAAGAACGCAGCGAAAUGCGAUACGUAAUGUGAAUUGCAGAAUUCAGUGAAUCAUCGAGUCUUUGAACGCACAUUGCGCCCUCUGGUAUUCCGGAGGGCAUGCCUGUCCGAGCGUCAUUGCUGCCCUCAAGCACGGCUUGUGUGUUGGGCUCCGUCCCCCGAUCCCGGGGGGACGGGCCCGAAAGGCAGCGGCGGCACCGCGUCCGGUCCUCGAGCGUAUGGGGCUUUGUCACCCGCUCUGUAGGCCCGGCCGGCGCCUGCCGAUCAACCAAAUUUUUAUCCAGGUUGACCUCGGAUCAGGUAGGGAUACCCGCUGAACUUAAGCAUAUCAAUAAGCGGAGGCU